RNAcentral lists this long non-coding RNA (215 nucleotides) under Zonotrichia albicollis (white-throated sparrow). Its description in RNAcentral is "lncRNA (ENSZALG00000000380.1)". The record is from RNAcentral. Lineage: Eukaryota; Metazoa; Chordata; Aves; Passeriformes; Passerellidae.
CCAGAAAUGCUUCAUUUCCACAUCUUAAAAUGCCGGGCUGGAUUUCCAGGGGAGGAUGCAAUUCUAUAAAUUGCCCAGCUUCUUCACAGCAAAGCAAAAUGUCACUGAACACCUCAGGGAUGCCAUGUGUUGAAGACUAGAAAAACCUGCACAGGAGAUGGACUGAGAAAGAGAAGGCAGGUAAGCGAUCACUGUGCAUAAUUUCUAGUUCUACU